CCUACGGGCGGCAGCAGUGGGGAAUAUUGGACAAUGGGCGAAAGCCUGAUCCAGCCAUGCCGCGUGUGUGAAGAAGGCCUUCGGGUUGUAAAGCACUUUCAGUGGGGAAGAAAGCCUUGGGGCUAAUACCCUCGAGGAAGGACAUCACCCACAGAAGAAGCACCGGCUAACUCCGUGCCAGCAGCCGCGGUAAUACGGAGGGUGCGAGCGUUAAUCGGAAUUACUGGGCGUAAAGCGCGCGUAGGCGGUCUGAUAAGCCGGUUGUGAAAGCCCCGGGCUCAACCUGGGAACGGCAUCCGGAACUGUCAGGCUAGAGUGCAGGAGAGGAAGGUAGAACUCCCGGUGUAGCGGUGAAAUGCGUAGAGAUCGGGAGGAAUACCAGUGGCGAAGGCGGUCUUCUGGACUGACACUGACGCUGAGGUGCGAAAGCGUGGGUAGCAAACAGGAUUAGAUACCCUUGUAGUC
This 465-nucleotide ribosomal RNA is filed under the name Vreelandella stevensii. RNAcentral's name for it is "partial 16S ribosomal RNA". It matches the Rfam family "Bacterial small subunit ribosomal RNA", at positions 338 to 795 of the family's 1533-position model. The record is from RNAcentral. Lineage: Bacteria; Pseudomonadati; Pseudomonadota; Gammaproteobacteria; Oceanospirillales; Halomonadaceae.